RNAcentral lists this transfer RNA (624 nucleotides) under uncultured Synechococcus sp. RNAcentral describes it as "partial may contain 16S ribosomal RNA, 16S-23S ribosomal RNA intergenic spacer, and 23S ribosomal RNA". The stretch from base 224 to 296 matches the Rfam family "tRNA". The record is from RNAcentral. Lineage: Bacteria; Bacillati; Cyanobacteriota; Cyanophyceae; Synechococcales; Synechococcaceae.
UUAGGCCGAAAUUCUGUCACCUUAGGUCGAUCGGUACCUCAGCUUUGAAGUUAAGAAUCAGCAGCAAUGUUGAUUGCUUGAUGGAGAUUUUCAGUUCCUAAACUUUGUCUAGGUCACACCCCAAAAGGGAUGAGACUCCUGGGCCAUUAGCUCAGGUGGUUAGAGCGCACCCCUGAUAAGGGUGAGGUCCCUGGUUCAAGUCCAGGAUGGCCCAUUCGGUGUUGGGGGUUUAGCUCAGUUGGUAGAGCGCCUGCUUUGCAAGCAGGAUGUCAGGAGUUCGAGUCUCCUAACCUCCACUGACCGAACUUGAUUCCCAUCUCCAAUUUUUUGGAGUUGAGCUCGAUUGGAGUGUGAUUUAGAUGUGUCCGCUGGAUGACCCCAGCUUCCUGUCAUUCCAAGUUUUAGGUUGAAGCCUUGAAUUUGGUUGAUAAGAUGCUGGGCUCAGAUCAAAUGAUCAAGCAAUUGAUGAUUUGAUUUGAAGUUCUAGCAGAACCUUGACAACUGCAUAGGUGAGUCUGGAAAAAACAAAGCAUCUUACAGAUGCAUUGUUUUGAAUCUGAUCUUCUGAAAGGAAGAUUGGAUCCAGAACAAUGAAAAUUCUUUUGAGCAAGAGCCGAGACUCUU